Molecule: long non-coding RNA, 314 nt
Filed under: Gallus gallus (chicken)
Lineage: Eukaryota; Metazoa; Chordata; Aves; Galliformes; Phasianidae
Description: long non-coding RNA NONGGAT002250
Source: RNAcentral
AGCUGAACAUGAUCUAAGGCUUACUAAGUAUUUUGUAUACAUAACAUAAGGACUCAUCUAUACGAGGACAGCGAGGAGAGUUAACCGGAGUUACUUCUGAGAUGGUUGAUUCGAUUGCUGUGAAUCACUUUUCAGAUGGUCUCUGAGUUAAAGUGGCCUUAAUUCAUUUAAGGCUGACUGAAAUGAAGCCAAAUUAGGGCCUCUUUAUCUCUGAGUGUGAAGAUCAGCGCCCAGUUGUAGGCAAUUGACCAAAUUUGCUUUAAGUUUACAUUUUCCAUUGACUCGGGCUCCCUGUCUGACAGAUCUCUUUGGGC